Molecule: transfer RNA, 75 nt
Filed under: Fusobacteriaceae bacterium
Lineage: Bacteria; Fusobacteriati; Fusobacteriota; Fusobacteriia; Fusobacteriales; Fusobacteriaceae
Description: tRNA-Gln
Rfam family: tRNA
About the family: Transfer RNA (tRNA) molecules are approximately 80 nucleotides in length. Their secondary structure includes four short double-helical elements and three loops (D, anti-codon, and T loops).
Source: RNAcentral
UGGGGCGUCGCCAAGCGGUAAGGCAACGGACUUUGACUCCGUCAUGCGUUGGUUCGAAUCCAACCGCCCCAGCCA